Molecule: ribosomal RNA, 291 nt
Filed under: uncultured bacterium
Lineage: Bacteria
Description: partial 16S ribosomal RNA
Source: RNAcentral
GGACUACACGGGUAUCUAAUCCCGUUCGCUCCCCUGGCUUUCGCGCCUCAGCGUCAGUUUUCGUCCAGAAAGCCGCCUUCGCCACUGGUGUUCUUCCUAAUAUCUACGCAUUUCACCGCUACACUAGGAAUUCCGCUUUCCUCUCCGAUACUCUAGCCUACUAGUUUCCAUCCCAUCACGGGGUUGAGCCCCGAACUUUUAAGACAGACUGGAUAGGCCGCCUGCGCGCGCUUUACGCCCAAUAAUUCCGGACAACGCUUGCCACCUACGUAUUACCGCGGCUGCUGGCAC